CGUGGCGCCAGUGAGCGCACGCGCCGGUGGGAGUAAUGGUGCCGGGCCAGGCGGAGGAGUGGCGCCAGUGGGUGGGGCGCCGGGUGCCAGGAGAAGAAAGGAGAGAGAAGAAGAAAGGAAGAAGAAGGAAGAAGAAGGAAGAAAGGAGGAAGAGAAAAGAAAGAAAGGAAAGAAGGGGAAAGAAAGAAAAAGAGAGGGACCGGCGGCGUUCGCGGCGCGCGGUCGGGGCACGCGCGCGACGUCUGACAAUGGCACGCGACGAGAUUCGCGGGCACGGAUAAAAAGACAGGUGGGGGUCGGUAUGGGUACCGGGAUGGCGAAAUCGCCGGGGAGGUUUCCGAUUCCCGGGAGCUCAGCGGUAAAAAGAUUUUUAAAGACGGUUUUUAACGGGUGAUUUUAGUUAGUGAUUUUUGCGGGCGUUACAAACAGGCCCCUCCCUUUGCCUCUCAUGCCGGCUCACCCUCCCUCCCCCGGCUUUCUUCCUCCCUUCCUCUCCCAUUAGCCCCCUCCCUAUCCCACUGGCCCUCCCACUCUCCGCCAUCCUGUGAGAUACCACCACCGCCCCUCCC
RNAcentral lists this long non-coding RNA (569 nucleotides) under Setaria viridis. RNAcentral's name for it is "long non-coding RNA (SVIR_LNC009026)". Lineage: Eukaryota; Viridiplantae; Streptophyta; Magnoliopsida; Poales; Poaceae. The record is from RNAcentral.